RNAcentral lists this ribosomal RNA (395 nucleotides) under uncultured bacterium. RNAcentral describes it as "partial 16S ribosomal RNA". It matches the Rfam family "Bacterial small subunit ribosomal RNA", at positions 523 to 918 of the family's 1533-position model. The record is from RNAcentral.
AUACGUAGGGUGCAAGCGUUAAUCGGAAUUACUGGGCGUAAAGCGUGCGCAGGCGGUUUUGUAAGACAGUGGUGAAAUCCCCGGGCUCAACCUGGGAACUGCCAUUGUGACUGCAAGGCUGGAGUGCGGCAGAGGGGGAUGGAAUUCCGCGUGUAGCAGUGAAAUGCGUAGAUAUGCGGAGGAACACCGAUGGCGAAGGCAAACCCCUGGGCCUGCACUGACGCUCAUGCACGAAAGCGUGGGGAGCAAACAGGAUCAGAUACCCUGGUAGUCCACGCCCUAAACGAUGUCAACUGGUUGUUGGGGAUUUAUUUUCUCAGUAACGAAGCUAACGCGUGAAGUUGACCGCCUGGGGAGUACGGCCGCAAGGUUAAAACUCAAAGGAAUUGACGGGU